GGGGUCGUACCGGUUUCGACUGUGAUGAAAAGGGGAGGCAUAAGCAUACCGAAGCGCCUUACUUCGUUAAAAAGGGCACAAUAAAAUUAAAUGCUGACAAUCAUAAUCAACGUUUAGCGUUUGCCGCUUAAUUUAAAAGCGACUGUCCGCCCGCGUCUUUCCCGUCGGAUGCGGAUACGGGCAUAAUUUCAGGCGGGGAACUACCUUUGCCGAUCGAAAACACGGCAUUGGCAGAUAAUUUGUUUUCGGGCGCCGCGCGUAAAAUGCGUCUUACCGUCGCGUGCGGAACAGUUCAAGUUAAGACUAAGUAUGUAGAAGGCUUUUCGGUUUCUUCGCAACACGAGAGUUCAACUCUCUCCGACUCCACCA
RNAcentral lists this transfer-messenger RNA (369 nucleotides) under Clostridia bacterium. It matches the Rfam family "transfer-messenger RNA". Rfam says of the family: Bacterial tmRNA, also known as 10Sa RNA or SsrA, is named for its dual tRNA and mRNA-like properties. Its role is to liberate the mRNA from a stalled ribosome. The record is from RNAcentral. Lineage: Bacteria; Bacillati; Bacillota; Clostridia.